This is a long non-coding RNA of Odocoileus virginianus texanus, 769 nucleotides long. RefSeq lists it as uncharacterized. The record is from RefSeq and is a predicted model, not a curated record. NCBI's taxonomy places the organism in Eukaryota, Metazoa, Chordata, Mammalia, Artiodactyla, Cervidae.
UUAUGGAGUUUCAGUGAUACUGAAGCCCCGGGCAGUUUCUGAUGUUUUCUCAGUUUCACUCAGAAGCUGGGUACCGAUGUCAUGUAUACUCCUUGCCAGCUCCUUAGGACUCUUUUUUUUUUUUUUUCUUUUCUGAAUUUCUUUAGCCUCAGCCUCUUAGCUUUCUGGGAAAUCUUUUUGGAUACAGUGGGCAGAGUAAACAUCAAAGAAUGGAACCAAGUGCACAUCCUGCUUCUGAGAAAGCCCUUGCUCUGUGGCAAGAAUUCAAGCACUAGGAUGCAGGCAUUUAGGGGAAUGGAAGCUGAACUGUUGCCUUAAGGUUACUCCUCUACCAGAAGAACUGAAAGAGGUUCCCCAAGCCUCCAAAAACAUGUUGUGGGAUAUGGGCCAACAGUUGUUUCCUAGUUGGGAUGGUCUCUUCAUUCAACACUUCAUCUGACUGCUACGCCUCACCAUGGAGUGGAAAGAGUAACUUCCAAACUGAUCACAAGUUGAAGAACUGCUAUAAAAUACAAAGUCUCAAGGUUGUUAAAUUAACUGACUGUGGUGGUUCUAAUGCCUUGGCAGCCCGUGUAAGCAAACCAAAAGCUAAGCCUGUAAAGACCUCAAGAUUAAGAAACUGGAACCAAAGGACAACCCAUAACAAAGAGACAACUGGGCUUCUCUCAAGAAAUCAAACGCUUAAGCUACAGCCAACUGAGUACUUUCUUGCUUUGCUUCCAGGUCUCUUGAAGCUCCUGUUGGUGGAAGGCUCCUAACCACUUUUGGU